RNAcentral lists this ribosomal RNA (253 nucleotides) under uncultured bacterium. Its description in RNAcentral is "partial 16S ribosomal RNA". It matches the Rfam family "Bacterial small subunit ribosomal RNA", at positions 524 to 776 of the family's 1533-position model. The record is from RNAcentral.
GACGAACCGUGCGAACGUUAUUCGGAAUCAUUGGGCGUAAAGGGUGCGUAGGCGGCGGGGCAAGUCGGAUGUGAAAUCUCAGGGCUCAACCCUGAAACUGCAUUCGAUACUGCUCUGCUCGAGGACUGGAGAGGAGAUUGGAAUUUACGGUGUAGCGGUGAAAUGCGUAGAUAUCGUAAGGAAGACCAGUGGCGAAGGCGGGUCUCUGGACAGUUCCUGACGCUGAGGCACGAAGGUCAGGGGAGCAAACGGG